GCAGGCCUAAUACAUGCAAGUCGAGCGCACCUUCGGGUGAGCGGCGGACGGGUGAGUAACGCGUGGGAAUGUGCCCUUUGGUACGGAACAACUGAGGGAAACUUCAGCUAAUACCGUAUGUGCCCUUCGGGGGAAAGAUUUAUCGCCAUUGGAGCAGCCCGCGUUGGAUUAGGUAGUUGGUGAGGUAAAGGCUCACCAAGCCUACGAUCCAUAGCUGGUCUGAGAGGAUGAUCAGCCACAUUGGGACUGAGACACGGCCCAAACUCCUACGGGAGGCAGCAGUAGGGAAUCUUGCGCAAUGGGCGAAAGCCUGACGCAGCCAUGCCGCGUGAAUGAUGAAGGUCUUAGGAUUGUAAAAUUCUUUCACCGGGGAAGAUAAUGACGGUACCCGGAGAAGAAGCCCCGGCUAACUUCGUGCCAGCAGCCGCGGUAAUACGAAGGGGGCUAGCGUUGCUCGGAAUUACUGGGCGUAAAGGGCGCGUAGGCGGAUAGUUUAGUCAGAAGUGAAAGCCCA
Molecule: ribosomal RNA, 514 nt
Filed under: uncultured Alphaproteobacteria bacterium
Lineage: Bacteria; Pseudomonadati; Pseudomonadota; Alphaproteobacteria
Description: bacterial SSU rRNA
Rfam family: Bacterial small subunit ribosomal RNA
Source: RNAcentral